UGAGUGGGUGGCGACCACGGAUCGACUAACUUUCCUAUCUCGAUAUGAUAAUGUUUGUAGAGUUGUUCACAGUUUUACUUUUAUUUACAUCAAAAAUCAGGGCGGGUUGUCGGAUAUGGUGCAUUUUCGAGUUAGGCCACAGACACACUGUACUGUCUCAAUUAACAGAUUGCUCAUGUUAUACCGUUCACAGCACUGCGUUCACUGCCUUUACAUAUACAAAUGUUGGUUGAUGUGCAUAUACAAAUGCCUCCCCCCAACUUUCCUCUUCUUUUUUUCACAAAAGUCCAGUUCAAGCCAUAUUCAAAGGACUCCAAGAACCUCAGGAAUGGGACUCUCCGGGCAAACGCCUGAGAUCAUUAGAAGAAGGAUAAAUCGAAGAAGAAAGAAAGAGGCCACAACAAAGACGGAUGUAGGUAGUGAAGGCAUUUUUAACCUUUCAGAUCAAACAUUAGAGAAAGAGGAGCUUAAGAUUCUUAAGAAGGGCUUAAAAUUUGCUCCAAUGUCAGAUUUUAAUUCCUUCGAUUUUUUUUAUAGAUCUUAAUUGUUUUACCAGAUAAUUAUGUGUAAAUACGUUUUUUUUAUAAUAAAAAGGAAGCUGCGCUAAUAGACACUACUACCAUAUACGUACACAGUAAUUUGAAAGAAAAAUCUAAAUUUUUCCCGAAAAAUAUGAUUUCUAAUGAAAUCAAAACAUUUGAAACAAUGAUAAUGAAAGAAGUGAGUAAAAUAAAAAAUACCAAUAUGUAACAAAAAAUCCUUCACAAAUAGAAAUAAAAGCUCUUAGGGAAUUACAGAAAAAUUAAGAAAUUGUAAUUAAACCAGCAGACAAAGGAGGAGGAGUUGUGGUUUUCUUGAAAGGAAAUUAUGUAAAAGAAGCCAAAAGACUUUUAAUGGACGAAAAGACCUAUUAAAAAAAUUAAAUCCAACCCGAGUCAAGUAAUUAAAGGGAACAUAUUCCACAUAUUGAAAAUACUUUGUGACAUAAAAUGGGAAGAGGAUUUUAUACUAGUUACAUGUGAUGUAACUUCCCUCUGCAGUAUUAUCCCACAUGAUAAGGGUACAGAGGCAGUGGAAUAUUUUCUAAAUAAAUCCAAUUUCCAAAAAGAACAAAUUGAUUUUAUUAUUAGAGGUAUAUUUUUAAUCCUUACCAACAUUUUUUUUUGUUUAAGGAUAGGUUUUUCUUCAAAUUAAUUGAAAGGCAAUGGGAACCAAGUUCGCACCCAGUUUUGCAAAUUUAUUAAUGGCGUACUGGGAAGAAAGAUUUAUUCUUCAGCACACUUUCUAUGCGAACUUGGUUACCUAUCGCCGUUUCAUUGAUGAUAUAUUUUUUAUUUGGAAAGGAGACAAACCAAGUCUCGGUAAUUUUUUAUACCAUCUUAAUACCAAUAAUUGGGGGAUUGUUUUUAACUUCAGUGCAGAGCACAAAAGAGAUCAACUUUUUGGAUCUUACAAUUUUUAUAGAAAAUGGGAAAUUACAUACAAAUAUUUUUUUUUAAAGAAGUCGAUGCAAACAGUUACAUAGAUUUUAAAAGUUGCCAUUACACUCCAGGGCUUAAUAAUGCACCAAAGAGUAAAUUCACGAGUUUAAAAGGGAAUAGCACACAUGAGAAAGAUUUCAUACAACAGACAAAUAAAACAAUUCAUUGAAAAAGGCUAUAAGGAAGUGGACCUCCAGAUGAAUAUAGAGGAAAUAAAAAAAAAAAAAAGGAUAGGAAAGCUCUACUAACUAUAAGAAAAAACAAAAUGAAGAAAUUAAGGAAGUAAAAGUCCCAUUUAUUUGUGAUAUUGCAGCUAGAAAUAAAAAAGUACAAUAUGCCAUUAAAAAGCAUCUCUUGCACGAUGAUCCCAUUCUUAAAAAUAUACUACCAUCAAAACCUAGAAUUGUACACAGGGGAUGUAAGAAUAUAAAGAACACAUUAGUAAGGAGUAAUUAUAAAGAUCCAAUAAAGGCAGAGAACUUCCUAACCAGCAGUAAAGUUUUUUUGGAUGCGGAAGUUGUUUAGCGUGUAGAGAAACCAAUAGUAAAAAGAGAAACGUAAAGAAUAUUAAUGAAUUUACAAAGAAAGGCUUUACAAUAAGAGAACAAUUAACUUGCUUUUCAAAAAAUAUUAUUUAUAUAUUAAAAUGUCCUUGUGACAUGUUGUACAUUGGGAGAACAAUUAGGUGUUUGCACAUCAGAAUAUCAGAACACGUCAGAAACAUUAAAAAUGGCAUAGAGACGCACAGUGUAUCCCAACAUUUUAAGGAGCAUCACAAUCAAAAUCCUAAAGAUCUCACCUUUUGUGUACUUAAAUUAGUCAAAAGAAAUUGGAGAGGAGGAGAUUUCAUGAAACAAAUUAGAUUUAUUUUUAAUUUUAGUACAUUAGCCCCCCAUGGUUUGAAUUUGGAUUUUGAAAUUUGUCAUUUUUUAACUUAAUAAUACUUUUAAUAUUAAUUUCCUACCAUCUUUUAUGAGCCUUUUUAUAUAUUCUUUUAUUAAAUUUAAAUUUAUAUUAAACUACCUAUUUAUGAAUUCAUCCCACCAUUUUCAUUUUUGAAGAAUUAUUUUACACUAUAAUUUUAUAGUGGUGUGGUGUCCAUUUUUUAUUACACAAUAUGCAACUUUUAUAAACAGUUUUUAAUAUUAAAUAUUUUGAAUUUGAAGAUAAAUGCUGUUUAAAUGUUCACAUUGUUUAUGUUUCUGAGCUAAAUGGAUUAUAUUAGAUCCUCUUGUACUGUAAUCUUAUAAUGGUCUUAUAUUACACAUUAUGCAAUCAUGGGUGUAAUAUGAAGCACUUCAAAUAACAGUUCUUAUACUUCUAAUUUGAAGAUGAAUGCUAUGUUAAAAUCUUUAAUUGUUUUUAUGUUUGUUUUAUAUGCUAUAUGGACUCAAUUAAAGCUUCCUGCAAGUGAAACUAAGGACAGAUAAAUUCUUCGUUGAA
This 2924-nucleotide long non-coding RNA is filed under the name Pelobates cultripes (western spadefoot toad). The record is from RNAcentral. Lineage: Eukaryota; Metazoa; Chordata; Amphibia; Anura; Pelobatidae.